This 360-nucleotide transfer-messenger RNA is filed under the name Thermoanaerobaculia. RNAcentral describes it as "RHKY01 sp008363385 Standard tmRNA". It matches the Rfam family "transfer-messenger RNA". From Rfam's summary of the family: Bacterial tmRNA, also known as 10Sa RNA or SsrA, is named for its dual tRNA and mRNA-like properties. RNAcentral also lists the same sequence under 3 other names. Lineage: Bacteria; Pseudomonadati; Acidobacteriota. The record is from RNAcentral.
GGGGGCGUCCCGGUUUCGACGGGGCAUCCGGCGAUCGAGGAGCACGCCGAGCAGGCCGUUCGACUCGUAAAACCGACGGCGAAACAAAGCUGCCAACGACAGCGAACUCGCUCUCGCGGCUUAAUUAGCCACGACGGUCGCCGGGGGGCCCGCCUGGAGCACCUCGGCGGUCGACGCGAAAGCCAGGCUGGACCCCCUCCCGCCGCCUGAAGGAAGGGGUCGAGACGUUCAGGAUCGCCGCCGCGUUCGGACGCCCGGACCCGAAGGCGUGGUGGCUAAACAAACAAGCACGGGCUGAGCGUGGAGAGCCUCGACGUCAGGGUACUUCGGACGGGGGUUCGACUCCCCCCGCCUCCACCA